UACGUAGGUCCCGAGCGUUGUCCGGAUUUAUUGGGCGUAAAGCGAGCGCAGGUGGUUUAUUAAGUCUGGUGUAAAAGGCAGUGGCUCAACCAUUGUAUGCAUUGGAAGCUGGUAGACUUGAGUGCAGGAGAGGAGAGUGGAAUUCCAUGUGUAGCGGUGAAAUGCGUAGAUAUAUGGAGGAACACCGGUGACGAAAGCGGCUCUCUGGCCUGUAACUGACACUGAGGCUCGAAAGCGUGGGGAGCAAACAGG
RNAcentral lists this ribosomal RNA (252 nucleotides) under uncultured bacterium. RNAcentral describes it as "partial 16S ribosomal RNA". It matches the Rfam family "Bacterial small subunit ribosomal RNA", at positions 524 to 776 of the family's 1533-position model. The record is from RNAcentral.